AUACGUAGGGGGCAAGCGUUAUCCGGAUUUACUGGGUGUAAAGGGAGCGUAGGUGGCUCGAUAAGUCAGAAGUGAAAGCCCAGAGCUCAACUCUGGGACUGCUUUGAAACUAUCGGGCUAGAGUGCAGGAGAGGUAAGUGGAAUUCCUAGUGUAGCGGUGAAAUGCGUAGAUAUUAGGAGGAACACCAGUGGCGAAGGCGACUUACUGGACUGUAACUGACGCUGAGUCACGAAAGCGUGGGUAGC
This 246-nucleotide ribosomal RNA is filed under the name uncultured bacterium. RNAcentral describes it as "partial 16S ribosomal RNA". It matches the Rfam family "Bacterial small subunit ribosomal RNA", at positions 523 to 769 of the family's 1533-position model. The record is from RNAcentral.